GUCUACGGCCAUACCACCCUGAACGCACCCGAUCUCGUCUGAUCUCGGAAGCUAAGCAGGGCUGGGCCUGGUUAGUACUUGGAUGGGAGAAAACUGAAGCCCAGAGAGGGAAGUGGUUUGAUCGAAGUCA
Mustela putorius furo (domestic ferret) is the source of this 130-nucleotide ribosomal RNA. Lineage: Eukaryota; Metazoa; Chordata; Mammalia; Carnivora; Mustelidae. The record is from Ensembl.